Molecule: long non-coding RNA, 1135 nt
Filed under: Brachypodium distachyon (stiff brome)
Lineage: Eukaryota; Viridiplantae; Streptophyta; Magnoliopsida; Poales; Poaceae
Description: long non-coding RNA (BDIS_LNC005001)
Source: RNAcentral
CCGAGGGUGGGGGCGGAUGACACGAAGGGGCACGAAGGUGGUUUGACAGGCGACGAAACCGCGUGGUGAAAGAAAUGGUCUGUAUUUUUUAGAUAGGUAUAGAAGAUUGAUCAAACACUUUGACUAGUGAAAGGUAAACUUUCCAAAACAAAUUGAUAUCGUAUCAAAAGAAUACCCAAUUAAUGGUCUGUCAACACGAUAAAUUAACAUGGAGAAGGAUACUUUGCAUGGCUUCUGAGGAGAAACGCUGAAAAUGUAUCUUGAUUAAUCCAGCUACUUACUUUCACAUAAGAAAUUAAACAGCAAUUUAUUGACCUUCCAAAACAGAAAAGAAAAGAAAAAAGAAAAAAGGAACCAGCUGUUGAUACAUACACUGGUCUCAAUCGUCCUCGAUCAGGUGCGGCCGGCGGACAUAUUACCACCACACACAGGAACUGAAGGGGAUAGAUACAUUAUAUAUUAACGUCGUCGUACGCGCCUUGGUCGUGCGUGAUAAUUAGUCGCUCAACUCGGUGGUUUUCUUGCCGCUGGCCCCGGGCUGGAAGGUGGAGGGGUUGACGGCCUUCUCGGCGGUCGACUCGGCGGCCCCGAGCGUGGCGCCGCCGGCAUCGGCGCCUGGCAUCGACAUCGCCUCGGCCACCGGCGCCACCGCCACGGCGGCGGCCAGCAGGAGGACGGCCAGGGCGAGCGCGCGAGACAUGGCGAUCUGCUAGCUAGUUAGCUCUCUGUGUCAAAUUGAUCUGGAGAUGAGAUGGUGGAUCGAGAGAGUCGGAGAUGGAGAGAGAGAGAGGAGGGGCGUGGAGUUGGGUUAUAUAUGCGCGGCCGGGAGAGGAGAAGGUGCGUACGCGCGCGGCGCCAGGAGUUUGUCUCCUUAAUUUGGUAAUAUGGCGAUCCCUUGCGUGGAGGGAGGGAUGAUGCUUGGACAGUGACGACGGAGACGGCGUGCGCACCGCGGGGCAGCAGGGGGGGCCUCCCGUCUAUUUCUAGAUCCUCUGCUGAAUUUUGUUUCUUCUACCCGCAUGAUAACACGUGCUCCCUUCAAUUCAUAUUAAUUGUCUCCCACAUAUUAUUCGUCUUGAAAAUGGCUUCUAACGGGUAGUGAUAAGAGGUGUCCCAAUCUUCUCCUUGAGCAUGU